This 858-nucleotide ribosomal RNA is filed under the name uncultured bacterium. RNAcentral's name for it is "bacterial SSU rRNA". It matches the Rfam family "Bacterial small subunit ribosomal RNA", at positions 1 to 852 of the family's 1533-position model. The record is from RNAcentral.
UAGAGUUUGAUCCUGGCUCAGGACGAACGCUGGCGGCGUGCUAUACAUGCAGUUGAGCGAUGAAGAUUGGUGCUUGCACCAAUUUGAAGAGCAGCGAACGGGUGAGUAACGCGUGGGGAAUCUGCCUUUGAGCGGGGGACAACAUUUGGAAACGAAUGCUAAUACCGCAUAACAACUUUAAACAUAAGUUUUAAGUUUGAAAGAUGCAAUUGCAUCACUCAAAGAUGAUCCCGCGUUGUAUUAGCUAGUUGGUGAGGUAAAGGCUCACCAAGGCGAUGAUACAUAGCCGACCUGAGAGGGUGAUCGGCCACAUUGGGACUGAGACACGGCCCAAACUCCUACGGGAGGCAGCAGUAGGGAAUCUUCGGCAAUGGACGAAAGUCUGACCGAGAACGCCGCGUGAGUGAAGAAGGUUUUCGGAUCGUAAAACUCUGUUGGUAGAGAAGAACGUUGGUGAGAGUGGAAAGCUCAUCAAGUGACGGUAACUACCCAGAAAGGGACGGCUAACUACGUGCCAGCAGCCGCGGUAAUACGUAGGUCCCGAGCGUUGUCCGGAUUUAUUGGGCGUAAAGCGAGCGCAGGUGGUUUAUUAAGUCUGGUGUAAAAGGCAGUGGCUCAACCAUUGUAUGCAUUGGAAACUGGUAGACUUGAGUGCAGGAGAGGAGAGUGGAAUUCCAUGUGUAGCGGUGAAAUGCGUAGAUAUAUGGAGGAACACCGGUGGCGAAAGCGGCUCUCUGGCCUGUAACUGACACUGAGGCUCGAAAGCGUGGGGAGCAAACAGGAUUAGAUACCCUGGUAGUCCACGCCGUAAACGAUGAGUGCUAGAUGUAGGGAGCUAUAAGUUCUCUGUAUCGCAGC